Molecule: non-coding RNA, 25 nt
Filed under: Mus musculus (house mouse)
Lineage: Eukaryota; Metazoa; Chordata; Mammalia; Rodentia; Muridae
Also listed under: 1 other name
Source: RNAcentral
UUGUGCUUGAUCUAACCAUGUGGUG